GUCCUCCCACCCUUGUUUCCUUCCUUCCUAUCGCCACCACCCAGAACUCGAGAAGCUUCCCUCUGCCCGCCGCCGCCGCCGCCGCCACUGCUCGCCGCCGCGGUUGUAACUUGCCCGUGGCGAUUCCACACGCCAGCCUCUCGUAUCAUAUCAGCGCAGAAAUUUGUUCACAAUGGCCCGCGUGUAUGUCGGCAACUUGGAUGCCCGAGUGACUUCUGGGGAACUUGAAGACGAAUUCCGCGUGUUUGGAGUUCUGCGAAGUGUCUGGGUCGCGCGGAAACCACCUGGUUUUGCAUUUAUUGAUUUUGAUGACAAGAGGGAUGCGGAGGAUGCAAUUCGUGAUCUAGAUGGCAAAAAUGGAUGGAGAGUUGAGCUAUCUCGCAGUACCAGUGGUCGCAGUGGUCGUGAUCGGUAUGGUGGGUCUGAGUCGAAGUGCUACGAGUGUGGUGAGGCUGGGCACUUUGCGCGUGAAUGUCGUAUGCGGAUUGGUUCUGGAGGUUUAGGCAGUGGGAGACGUCGCAGUAGGAGCAGAAGCCGCAGCCGCAGCCCCAGAUACCGCAGGAGUCCGAGCUAUAGUAGAAGAAGUUAUAGCCCUCGUAAUCGCUCUCCAAGGCGCCGUAGUGUUUCGCCAGCUCGUGGACGCAGCUAUAGCAGGUCACCAUAGUGCAUCUGUGGCCAAGAUGGAUCUCCCUGUGCUAAUGGAGAAGAUGAUGUUGGCUACUGGCGUAGCAGGAGCUAGACCAGAAGCUUGUCUGCCUGUGCCUGAUUUGUGUUUUGUAUGAGAACUUGAUCCUUGGUUUUUCUGCCAGGAACAACUGUAGGAACUGUCGUCAACUGCAUGACUUCAGUUCAGAAGGCAUGUUCUGCUUAAACGACACGGCCAACUACGGCGCCCAGUUGUAUUCUUCAUGGUUUUGUUCCUCCAUUCUUGGCACGCCCUUACCUGCAAUCAAAUGUGAAUCCUCGAUUACUACCUGCCUACGAUGCCUCAUCGUUGCUGGCAUUCUUCACCGAAGCAAAUUAGUAACAUCCUUUCCCCAUAAAGCUGAUAAGGUAUUGAGUACUGACAACUGCAGCUUGCGAGAGCAAUAGACCCUUGAAUUCUUCACUCAUGUGAAAAUAAAUCUGCAACCGAGCAGUUUGGACAUUGGGAUGAAUGAAAUGUGGCCUUCAGCUGCAGCCUAGGUGGACACCAGAGGAAAUUGAUAAGACUGCCUUCAGCAGAAGGCUACGCCUUGGGCUGUGUCUGUUGGUGUGGUUUUCCGUUCUUCACUACUUCAGUCUUUACCUUCAAUUAAAUGAAGGUGUGUUCCCUGUGUUCUGCCUUCAUUGCAUUGGCGUGAUCGAUGGCCCUCGCAUGUGCAGCGAUGAGGCAAAAUAGGAAUCUGCCCCUGUUUAUGCUAAGUUAUUCUUCGUACCUGCAACAUACGGAACAAUUUUGCUACUUGCCACCGCAUUAUGGUUACAGUGUGUCACUAUAGUGAUGUAUAUUUGAUAAAUCGUAAGUUUGGGGUCUAGUUUAACAUAUUUGUGGAACUAGGCGCGAUAUAAGUGUAAAUUUAUACGUACAUAUUAAUUGACUCGCAACACACAAUGUAGUUAAAUCAAAUGGUUUAGCCAAACUAUACUUUUCUGAUUAGUGUAUGUUUUGAUUUAUGCUAGUGUCGCUUGAUGUUGUAUGAUUAUAUCAUCACUA
Phragmites australis (common reed) is the source of this 1696-nucleotide RNA transcript. It is a transcript of the gene named serine/arginine-rich splicing factor RSZ21, with no coding region annotated. NCBI's taxonomy places the organism in Eukaryota, Viridiplantae, Streptophyta, Magnoliopsida, Poales, Poaceae. The record is from RefSeq and is a predicted model, not a curated record. The transcript has 7 exons.